CGCGGCCUAUCAGCUUGUUGGUGAGGUAAAGGCUCACCAAGGCAUUGACGGGUAGCUGGUCUGAGAGGACGAUCAGCCACACUGGGACUGAGACACGGCCCAGACUCCUGCGGGAGGCAGCAGUGGGGAAUCUUGCGCGAUGGGCGAAAGCCUGACGCAGCAACGCCGCGUGGGGGGUGAAGGCUCUCGGGUUGUAAACCCCUUUCAGCAGGGACGAAAUUGACGGUACCUGUAGAAGAAGCCCCGGCCAACUACGUGCCAGCAGCCGCGGUAACACGUAGGGGGCAAGCGUUGUCCGGAAUUAUUGGGCGUAAAGGGCUCGUGGGCGGUUCGGUACGUCAGAUGUGAAAGGUUGGGGCUCAACCCUAAGACUGCAUUUGAUACUGCCGUGACUGGAGUCCGGUAGAGGAGUGUGGAAUUCCUGGUGUAGCGGUGAAAUGCGCAGAUAUCAGGAGGAACACCGACGGCGAAGGCAGCACUCUGGGCCGGUACUGACGCUGAGGAGCGAAAGCGUGGGUAGCAAACAGGAUUAGAUACCCUGGUGGUCCACGCCGUAAACGUUGGGCACUAGGUGUGGGGCCUUAUCAACGGGUUCCGUGCCGUAGCUAACGCAUUAAGUGCCCCGCCUGGGGAGUACGG
This 639-nucleotide ribosomal RNA is filed under the name uncultured bacterium. Its description in RNAcentral is "bacterial SSU rRNA". It matches the Rfam family "Bacterial small subunit ribosomal RNA", at positions 232 to 885 of the family's 1533-position model. The record is from RNAcentral.